Molecule: unclassified non-coding RNA, 287 nt
Filed under: Hevea brasiliensis (rubber tree)
Lineage: Eukaryota; Viridiplantae; Streptophyta; Magnoliopsida; Malpighiales; Euphorbiaceae
Source: RNAcentral
GCCAAGAUCUUCAAGGACAGGACCAAAAGAUGACACAACAGGCGCACAACCAGGAAAGAAAUCAAGGAAGGAGACCUUGUCUUGCUGUUCAACUCAACACUAAAGCUCUUCCCAUGAAAGCUGCAGUCAAAUGGUCCGAACGCUUAAAGGUCACUCAAAUUUUUCCGCAUGGAGCAGUAGAAGUAUGGAGCGAAACCUCUGGUGCCUGCAAGGUUAAUGGGCAGAGAUUAAAGCCAUACUUUUCAGAAAACACAAUUGAGAAAGGAUUCACACAAUCCUCCAGCAAU